This 478-nucleotide ribosomal RNA is filed under the name uncultured bacterium. RNAcentral's name for it is "partial 16S ribosomal RNA". It matches the Rfam family "Bacterial small subunit ribosomal RNA", at positions 28 to 507 of the family's 1533-position model. The record is from RNAcentral.
GAUGAACGCUGGCGGCGUGCUUAACACAUGCAAGUCGAACGGGAAUUAUUUUAUUGAAACUUCGGUCGAUAUGAUUUAAUUCUAGUGGCGGACGGGUGAGUAACGCGUGGGUAACCUGCCUUGUACAGGGGGAUAACAGUCAGAAAUGGCUGCUAAUACCGCAUAAGCGCACAGAGCUGCAUGGCUCCGUGUGAAAAACUACGGUGGUAUAAGAUGGACCCGCGUUGGAUUAGCUUGUUGGCAGGGUAACGGCCUACCAAGGCGACGAUCCAUAGCCGGCCUGAGAGGGUGAACGGCCACAUUGGGACUGAGACACGGCCCAGACUCCUACGGGAGGCAGCAGUGGGGAAUAUUGCACAAUGGGGGAAACCCUGAUGCAGCGACGCCGCGUGAAGGAAGAAGUAUCUCGGUAUGUAAACUUCUAUCAGCAGGGAAGAGAUUGACGGUACCUGACUAAGAAGCCCCGGCUAACUACGUG